UCGGGGCUGGACAAGCAGAGA
Molecule: microRNA, 21 nt
Filed under: Mus musculus (house mouse)
Lineage: Eukaryota; Metazoa; Chordata; Mammalia; Rodentia; Muridae
Description: mmu-miR-7083-5p
Source: miRBase by way of RNAcentral